Cygnus olor (mute swan) is the source of this 295-nucleotide long non-coding RNA. RefSeq lists it as uncharacterized. NCBI's taxonomy places the organism in Eukaryota, Metazoa, Chordata, Aves, Anseriformes, Anatidae. The transcript is spliced from 3 exons. The record is from RefSeq and is a predicted model, not a curated record.
CUCGUCCUCCUGGCUGCAGGCAGCUGGUUUGCCAUCAGGAAAGGUGCCUGCAGAGGGAGAUGCCCAAGGCAGCAGCACAUUGACAGCCCACAGAUGGAAAACACCGACUCCGGAGAAGUCCAGUGUGAGUACUACCUCCUCCCUCGGGGGAAGCCACAAGCUGCCUCUGCCCAUAGGCAUCCCGUGCACCUCUACAUGCAAUCCCACCACUUCAUUUCCCACUGGGACAUGCAAAAUCCCUGCCCGUUCUUCAAGGCCAGGUUUCUCUCCAGCACCUCACGUCCCACUUCUUCCU